Molecule: ribosomal RNA, 506 nt
Filed under: uncultured bacterium
Lineage: Bacteria
Description: bacterial SSU rRNA
Rfam family: Bacterial small subunit ribosomal RNA
Source: RNAcentral
GAUUAUGGCUCAGGAUGAACGCUAGCGGCAGGCUUAACACAUGCAAGUCGAGGGGCAUCGCGGGUAGCAAUACCUGGCGGCGACCGGCGAAAGGGUGAGUAACGCGUGAGCAACAUGCCCGACACAGGAGGAUAGUCGAUGGAAACGUCGCGUAAUACUCCAUAACAACAUGGAUCGCAUGGUUCGUGUUUGAAAGAUUCAUUGGUGUCGGAUUGGCUCGCGUACCAUUAGCUAGUUGGCGGGUAACGGCCCACCAAGGCGACGAUGGUUAGGGGUUCUGAGAGGAAGGUCCCCACAUUGGAAUUGAGACACGGUCCAGACUCCUACGGGAGGCAGCAGUGAGGAAUAUUGGUCAAUGGCCGAGAGGCUGAACCAGCCAUGCCGCGUGCCGGGAGGACGGCCCUAUGGGUUGUAAACCGCUUUUGUAGGGGAGCAAUAAGGUCCACGUGUGGGCCGAUGAGAGUACCCUGCGAAUAAGCAUCGGCUAACUCCGUGCCAGCCGCAGC